This 249-nucleotide long non-coding RNA is filed under the name Mytilus galloprovincialis (Mediterranean mussel). The record is from RNAcentral. Lineage: Eukaryota; Metazoa; Mollusca; Bivalvia; Mytilida; Mytilidae.
AUCUAUCUGCCCUGAAAUUUUCAGAUGAAUCAGACAACCCGUUGAUAGGUUGCUGCCCCUGAAUUGGUAAUUUUAAGGAAAUUUUGCUGUUUUUGGUUAUUAUCUUGAAUAUUAUCAUAGAUAGAGAUAAACUGUAAACAGCAAAAAUGUUCAGUAAAGUAAGAUCUACAAAUAAGUUAACAGGACCAAAAUGGUCUGUUGACCCCUUUAGGAGUUAUUGCCCUUUAUAGUCAAUUUUUAACCAUUUUU